Non-coding RNA from Gymnothorax javanicus (giant moray), 72 nucleotides. The record is from the annotation of a GenBank genome assembly. NCBI's taxonomy places the organism in Eukaryota, Metazoa, Chordata, Actinopteri, Anguilliformes, Muraenidae.
GGCGGCAUGGCUCAGGAGGUAAAGCGGCUAGGCUAAAUCGGGAGGUCCCUGGUUCGAUCCCCAGUUCCUCCA